RNAcentral lists this ribosomal RNA (492 nucleotides) under uncultured bacterium. RNAcentral's name for it is "partial 16S ribosomal RNA". It matches the Rfam family "Bacterial small subunit ribosomal RNA", at positions 30 to 507 of the family's 1533-position model. The record is from RNAcentral.
AGUGAACGCUGGCGGUAGGCCUAACACAUGCAAGUCGAACGGCAGCACAGUAAGAGCUUGCUCUUACGGGUGGCGAGUGGCGGACGGGUGAGGAAUACAUCGGAAUCUACUUUUUCGUGGGGGAUAACGUAGGGAAACUUACGCUAAUACCGCAUACGGCCUACGGGUGAAAGCAGGGGAUCUUCGGACCUUGCGCGAUUGAAUGAGCCGAUGUCGGAUUAGCUAGUUGGCGGGGUAAAGGCCCACCAAGGCGACGAUCCGUAGCUGGUCUGAGAGGAUGAUGAGAGACACGGGAAAUGAGAGAAGGUCCGGGCGACGAGGGGAGGCAGAAGUGGGGAAUGGUGGAGAAUGGGCGGAAGGUUGAUCCAGCAAGACCGAGAGGAGGAAGAAGGCAUUUGGAGUGUAAAGUUCUGUUAGUGGGAAAGAAAAGAAGCAGGUGAAGAUAUGGAUGUAGGGACGGGAAAUAAAGAAAAAGCAAAGGCUAACUGAGUG